This 455-nucleotide ribosomal RNA is filed under the name uncultured bacterium. Its description in RNAcentral is "SSU rRNA". It matches the Rfam family "Bacterial small subunit ribosomal RNA", at positions 26 to 518 of the family's 1533-position model. The record is from RNAcentral.
AGGAUAAACGCUGGCGGCGUGCCUAACACAUGCAAGUCGAACGUCCUACGCAAGUAGGGAGUGGCGGACGGGUGAGUAACACGUGGGCAAUCUACCUUUCGGUGAGGAAUACCGGCGAGAAAUCGCCGACAAUACCGCAUACGCUUCGCAAGAAGCAAAGUCGCAAGACGCCGGAGGAGGAGCCUGCGCCCGAUUAGCUGGUUGGUGGAGUAAUGGUCUACCAAGGCGACGAUCGGUAGCUGGUCUGAGAGGAUGAUCAGCCACACUGGGAUUGAGAACGGCCCAGACUCCUACGGGGGGCAGCAGUGAGGAAUUUUCGGCAAUGGGGGCAACCCGUGACCGAGCAACGCCGCGUGCAGGAGGAAGGUCUUCGGAUCGUAAACUGCUUUUCUGUGGGAAGAGAACGGACGGUACCACAGGAAGAACGCCCCGGCUAACUACGUGCCAGCAGCCGC